RNAcentral lists this ribosomal RNA (606 nucleotides) under Campylomormyrus numenius. RNAcentral's name for it is "partial 16S ribosomal RNA". It matches the Rfam family "Bacterial large subunit ribosomal RNA", at positions 1817 to 2597 of the family's 2925-position model. The record is from RNAcentral. Lineage: Eukaryota; Metazoa; Chordata; Actinopteri; Osteoglossiformes; Mormyridae.
GGCCUCUUGCAACCCACAAAUAAGAGGUCCAACCUGCCCAGUGACGAUAAGUUCAACGGCCGCGGUAUUUUAACCGUGCUAAGGUAGCGUAAUCACUUGUCUUUUAAAUGAAGACCCGUAUGAAAGGUGUCACGAGGGCCCACCUGUCUCCUACUUCAAGUCUGUGAAAUUGAUCUGCCCGUGCAGAAGCGGGCAUAACAACAUAAGACGAGAAGACCCUGUGGAGCUUAAGACCAAUCAAUCAACCGUGCCUACCAGCCAACCCACCCUAGCAGGAAAUAAAAAGCUAACCAAGCAUAACGAAUUAUGAUUAAAUGUCUUCGGUUGGGGCGACCAUGGAGGACAGAAAAGCCUCCAAGAGGAAGCAGGGGACCAGCUUAAUUGAUCCCUAAGAGCUAAGAGCCACCACUCUAAGCAACAGAAAACUCUGACCAAUAAUGAUCCAGACACUAGCCUGAUCAACGAACCAAGUUACCCCAGGGAUAACAGCGCAAUCCUUUCUCAGAGCCCAUAUCGCCGAAAGGGUUUACGACCUCGAUGUUGGAUCAGGACAUCCUGGUGGCGAAAAUUCUACCAAGGGUUCGUUUGUUCAACGAUUAAAGUCCU